Molecule: ribosomal RNA, 541 nt
Filed under: Flavobacterium indicum
Lineage: Bacteria; Pseudomonadati; Bacteroidota; Flavobacteriia; Flavobacteriales; Flavobacteriaceae
Description: bacterial SSU rRNA
Rfam family: Bacterial small subunit ribosomal RNA
Source: RNAcentral
GUGCGAUGCGCGUAUGCAAUCUACCUUGUACAGGGGGAAUGCCCAGAGAAAUUUGGAUUAAUACCCCAUGGUGUUAUGGAGUGGCAUCACUUUUUUACUAAAGUUAUGGCGGUACAAGAUGAGCAUGCGUCCCAUAUGCUAGUUGGUAUGGAUGCGGCAUACCAAGGCUACGAUGGGAUGGGGUCCUGAGAGGGAGAUCCCCCACACUGGUACUGAGACACGGACCAGACUCCUACGGGAGGCAGCAGUGAGGAAUAUUGGUCAAUGGUCGGAAGACUGAACCAGCCAUGCCGCGUGCAGGAAGACGGUCCUAUGGAUUGAUGACUGCUUUUAUACAGGAAGAAACCCUCUCACGAGUGGGAGCUUGACGGUACUGUAUGAAAUGGCAUCGGCAUGCUCCGUGCCAGCAGCCGCGGAUGUACGGAGGAUGCGAGCGUUAUCCGGAAUCAUUGGGUUAUGAGGGUCCGAUGGCGGUUAUGGUCAGUGGUGAAAUCUGGUCGCUCAACGAUCAAACUGCCAUUGAUACUGUUAGACUUGAAUA